This 26-nucleotide non-coding RNA is filed under the name Rattus norvegicus (Norway rat). The record is from RNAcentral. Lineage: Eukaryota; Metazoa; Chordata; Mammalia; Rodentia; Muridae.
UUCUAAGGGCCUUUCCAGCUAUCUGU